Callorhinchus milii (elephant shark) is the source of this 1319-nucleotide long non-coding RNA. RefSeq lists it as uncharacterized. The transcript is spliced from 2 exons. The record is from RefSeq and is a predicted model, not a curated record. NCBI's taxonomy places the organism in Eukaryota, Metazoa, Chordata, Chondrichthyes, Chimaeriformes, Callorhinchidae.
CAUGGUCCCUUGCGCACAAAGGCCAAAGCAGACUACCCCGUUUAAUAUCUGGCUUCAUCAAUGGACAUGCACGCUUUUGUGCAUGUGACAUCAUAUAUCGAUGGUUUCACAAAAUGGCAAAAUACAUUGUCUAGAGGAUAUUUGAUUUCCAAAAUUAAACAUGAAUCACGACUUUGUCAAGCCGGGCAGAAAUGUGCACUUUUUUUUAUGGACAUAGGGGCAUAAUAACAUUGCAGCUUCAAAGGUCAAUAAAGCAAAAAAAAAGAUGAAUGAUUAAGAGGAUGAUGAUAGUGAUAACCACUGCAAUUAAACAGUUUGAUUAAACGAGACAUCAUAACAACAAUGAUGUUUGGGAAAACACCCCUCACAUAAAAAAGUAAGAUAGUGCAGCGGUUGACAAGCGCCAGUGGGCAUUCCAACAUACUCCUGCCUGAACAUACCAGGGACUGUUGACAAUCUAGGACAUCAUCGAAAAUUCGCUCUCAAAUACUUUUACGCAUUGUUUCCCCCCUCUUUAAAGAGAAAACUGGGGCUUACAGCUAAUGAAGAUCCAGCAGCUUUGCAAGACGGUCUUCAACUAAGCAUUCUUCUGGUAAACUGUACUGGCGACUUGACUUGUCCUACACAGAACGGUAAUCUAAACCAGGAGAAUAACUAUCAUUCCCAGGGUAUAAACGAAAGACAUGACAGCAAACGACAAGGUCUGGAGCUCUUGUUCUACCUGGAAAACUCUCACUUUAAAGCGGGAAAUACAGUAUUUCACUUUCCGACAGAGGAGGAAAAACACAACCCCCCAAAAAACAUUAAAAGGAAUAAUGCGAAGGAAUGCGCGGUUGUUGACUGAGCCAUAAGGCACUGUAUGUAUGAACUGUUGUGUUGUGAAGGUCAGGUCACGGGCGAGUUUUUCCCCUGCAGAUCAUUAGGUGUAAUUGGGUAAGUUUAAGUGGAGUUCGGAUGCUGUACUUAAGUUAAUAGCAAUGACCUUCUUGCGGCUGUCCUGUCCAACGCUAUUCAUCUUAGGCAAGCGGAUUUGAAAACGAUCCGCCCCACUCCACCUCAGCCUUUCACAGAUACGAACCCAUCAGUAACGAUGUUCCGGAAAAUCCCAUCACCUUUUUUUUUCGGUUUGCUCUUCAAUAUUAUAUAAGCAAAAAUAGAUAACAUUUAAUCUGUAACCCCAGCGAGGAUCAAUCCGAACAAACCCACCCAUGGACGGUAACUGUAUCGAUUGAUUGAAUUGCCCAAAGUGUCCCCCUUCCCCCCAAAAAAGUAUUGUACUUCAUUGCAGCAUACACUGCAAGAUAAAAUAUUGAAAUAAA